Molecule: long non-coding RNA, 415 nt
Organism: Pogoniulus pusillus (Red-fronted tinkerbird)
Lineage: Eukaryota; Metazoa; Chordata; Aves; Piciformes; Lybiidae
Exons: 3
Source: RefSeq, a predicted model, not a curated record
UGUCUCCUGUCCUAGCAUCCUGCUGAAGCCUCAUCUGAAGCAAUCCUCUGUGGUGGAAACACUUUGAAGAGGAAAGCAGAUGGACUACACUGAACUGUCACCAAGUUUUGUGACGUCCAGAAGAGCAGGAUUAGUGCUGCAGGGUGCUGGUUCUUCAUCUCAGCACGGCUUCAUCUCUAUAGGAGUUCUUUCCAUACCUGCUGGAUGAGUCCUGUGGAAGAAUGGGAAGGGAAAUUCCAAAGCAACAUCUUUCAGGUGUUUUGAAACUGAGGAUCUGAUUGCAGCUGCUCUCCGCCAGGGAAGCUUUCUCUGCUUGGCAGCAGCAGCAGGCAAUGCUCUUUCAGGGAAAAGGGACUGAGAAACCCUGGAUUGAUUUGUCACAGAACCACCUUGCAGGUAGGUACCCAAGCCAACC